ACGACGCUGGCGGCGUGACUUAACACAUGGCAAGUCGAACGAGACGAUUGAAAGCUUGCUUUUGAAAGUCGAGUGGCAAACGGGUGAGUAACGCGUAGACAACCUGACCGCAAAGAUGGGACAACAGUCCGAAAGGACUGCUAAUACCGAAUGUUGUAUCUCCUCCGCAUGGAAGAGAUAUUAAAGAUGGCCUCUACUUGUAAGCUAUCGCUUUGCGAUGGGUCUGCGUCUGAUUAGCUAGUUGGUGGGGCAACGGCCUACCAAGGCAACGAUCAGUAGGGGUUCUGAGAGGAAGGUCCCCCACAUUGGAACUGAGACACGGUCCAAACUCCUACGGGAGGCAGCAGUGAGGAAUAUUGGUCAAUGGGCGAGAGCCUGAACCAGCCAAGUAGCGUGCAGGACGACGGCCCUAUGGGUUGUAAACUGCUUUUAUAAGGGAAUAAAGUGGGUCUCGUGAGACUUUUUGCAUGUACCUUAUGAAUAAGGACCGGCUAAUUCCGUG
RNAcentral lists this ribosomal RNA (502 nucleotides) under uncultured bacterium. RNAcentral describes it as "bacterial SSU rRNA". It matches the Rfam family "Bacterial small subunit ribosomal RNA", at positions 32 to 507 of the family's 1533-position model. The record is from RNAcentral.